CCUACGGGAGGCAGCAGUGGGGAAUAUUGACAAUGGGGGGAACCCUGAUCCAGCCAUGCCGCGUGUGUGAAGAAGGCCCUCGGGUGGUAAAGCACUUUCAGUGAGGAAGAACGCCUGGUGGUUAAUACCCAUCAGGAAAGACAUCACUCACAGAAGAAGCACCGGCUAACUCCGUGCCAGCAGCCGCGGUAAUACGGAGGGUGCGAGCGUUAAUCGGAAUUACUGGGCGUAAAGCGCGCGUAGGUGGCUUGAUAAGCCGGUUGUGAAAGCCCCGGGCUCAACCUGGGAACGGCAUCCGGAACUGUCAAGCUAGAGUGCAGGAGAGGAAGGUAGAAUUCCCGGUGUAGCGGUGAAAUGCGUAGAGAUCGGGAGGAAUACCAGUGGCGAAGGCGGCCUUCUGGACUGACACUGACACUGAGGUGCGAAAGCGUGGGUAGCAAACAGGAUUAGAUACCCGGGUAGUC
RNAcentral lists this ribosomal RNA (464 nucleotides) under Vreelandella stevensii. Its description in RNAcentral is "partial 16S ribosomal RNA". It matches the Rfam family "Bacterial small subunit ribosomal RNA", at positions 338 to 795 of the family's 1533-position model. Lineage: Bacteria; Pseudomonadati; Pseudomonadota; Gammaproteobacteria; Oceanospirillales; Halomonadaceae. The record is from RNAcentral.